This 426-nucleotide ribosomal RNA is filed under the name Escherichia coli. RNAcentral describes it as "bacterial SSU rRNA". It matches the Rfam family "Bacterial small subunit ribosomal RNA", at positions 292 to 710 of the family's 1533-position model. The record is from RNAcentral. Lineage: Bacteria; Pseudomonadati; Pseudomonadota; Gammaproteobacteria; Enterobacterales; Enterobacteriaceae. RNAcentral also lists the same sequence under 1 other name.
CUGAGAGGAUGACCAGCCACACUGGAACUGAGACACGGUCCAGACUCCUACGGGAGGCAGCAGUGGGGAAUAUUGCACAAUGGGCGCAAGCCUGAUGCAGCCAUGCCGCGUGUAUGAAGAAGGCCUUCGGGUUGUAAAGUACUUUCAGCGGGGAGGAAGGGAGUAAAGUUAAUACCUUUGCUCAUUGACGUUACCCGCAGAAGAAGCACCGGCUAACUCCGUGCCAGCAGCCGCGGUAAUACGGAGGGUGCAAGCGUUAAUCGGAAUUACUGGGCGUAAAGCGCACGCAGGCGGUUUGUUAAGUCAGAUGUGAAAUCCCCGGGCUCAACCUGGGAACUGCAUCUGAUACUGGCAAGCUUGAGUCUCGUAGAGGGGGGUAGAAUUCCAGGUGUAGCGGUGAAAUGCGUAGAGAUCUGGAGGAAUACC